GAAGGUAUAGCUCAGUGUUAGAGUACAUGCUUAGCAUGCACAAGGUCCUGGGUUCAAUCCCCAGUAACUAUA
RNAcentral lists this transfer RNA (72 nucleotides) under Camelus bactrianus (Bactrian camel). It matches the Rfam family "tRNA". From Rfam's summary of the family: Transfer RNA (tRNA) molecules are approximately 80 nucleotides in length. Their secondary structure includes four short double-helical elements and three loops (D, anti-codon, and T loops). Further hydrogen bonds mediate the characteristic L-shaped molecular structure. tRNAs have two regions of fundamental functional importance: the anti-codon, which is responsible for specific mRNA codon recognition, and the 3' end, to which the tRNAs corresponding amino acid is attached (by aminoacyl-tRNA synthetases). tRNAs cope with the degeneracy of the genetic code in two manners: having more than one tRNA (with a specific anti-codon) for a particular amino acid; and 'wobble' base-pairing, i.e. permitting non-standard base-pairing at the 3rd anti-codon position. RNAcentral also lists the same sequence under 3 other names. The record is from Rfam by way of RNAcentral. Lineage: Eukaryota; Metazoa; Chordata; Mammalia; Artiodactyla; Camelidae.